GCACUUGUUGAUGGAGGAGAACCUGCGCGUCGCUUUCUACUUCGGGACCUUGAGCUCAUUGCUUUUUCAAGGAAGUUUUCCAGUUUAGAAUACUGGGUAAUAUUAUCAGCAAUAUUAUCAGCAAUGGUGUAUUUGCAUGGAUUUGUGGUUAUGUACAUUUCUAAGGUCAGUUAGAUCAGGCCCUCCCAAUCUGGAAACCCUUUUUAUCUGCUUUGAACAAGCAGGUGCACAAUCAUGGAGAAAGGCUGGAGCAAACUGAAAAGGAUUACAGCACUUCUUCAGCUCAGUGUGAAAUCAUCAAGUGAGAGGUCAAUGAUGAUUCUGGGGUGGUUUCAGGUGGCUGUUUCUUCAAUCCAACUCCUCUAAUGCAUCUUUGGUUAACCAAAUCUUUGACAGGUUAUCCCAAUAUGCUGAUGCUGAUGUGUCGAGCUUCUGCCUUUUCCGAUAUCGUGAUCUGUCGGAUGGAUGGGGCUUAGAAUACUGACGCUUGCGAGACGGGUUGGACGUCACUGAACUAGGCAUAUGGUCAUAAUCAUAAAUAUUUGGCUCUUUUAUCUUGCGAGUAUGCAUCGAGGUCAGAAGGGCCAGAGGUUCUUAUAAUUAACUUUUGCGCAGGAUCCCAGAAUGCAUUUCAGGCGCUUAUCCGGAGAUUAUUGCUGUGUGCCGAAUAGGUUUAGGGACUAGAUUUCACUAUUAAUAGAAUUUGAUCUUCUGUCAACGG
This 721-nucleotide small RNA is filed under the name Histoplasma ohiense. Its description in RNAcentral is "hypothetical lncRNA". Lineage: Eukaryota; Fungi; Ascomycota; Eurotiomycetes; Onygenales; Ajellomycetaceae. The record is from RNAcentral.